This 468-nucleotide ribosomal RNA is filed under the name uncultured bacterium. RNAcentral's name for it is "partial 16S ribosomal RNA". It matches the Rfam family "Bacterial small subunit ribosomal RNA", at positions 28 to 507 of the family's 1533-position model. The record is from RNAcentral.
GACGAACGCUGGCGGCGUGCUUAACACAUGCAAGUCGAACGGAAAGGCCCUGCUUUUGUGGGGUGCUCGAGUGGCGAACGGGUGAGUAACACGUGAGUAACCUGCCCUUGACUUUGGGAUAACUUCAGGAAACUGGGGCUAAUACCGGAUAGGAGCUCCUGCUGCAUGGUGGGGGUUGGAAAGUCUCGGCGGUUGGGGAUGGACUCGCGGCUUAUCAGCUUGUUGGUGGGGUAGUGGCUUACCAAGGCUUUGACGGGUAGCCGGCCUGAGAGGGUGACCGGCCACAUUGGGACUGAGAUACGGCCCAGACUCCUACGGGAGGGAGAGGUGGGGAAUGUAGCACAAUGGGCGGAAGGCUGAUGCAGCCACGCCGCGUGCGGGAUGACGGGCUUCGGGUUGUAAACCGCUGUCGUCUGUGACGAAGCGUGAGUGACGGUAAUGGGUAAAGAAGCACCGGCUAACUACGUG